Molecule: ribosomal RNA, 407 nt
Filed under: uncultured bacterium
Lineage: Bacteria
Description: partial 16S ribosomal RNA
Rfam family: Bacterial small subunit ribosomal RNA
Source: RNAcentral
GACGAACGCUGGCGGCGUGCCUAAUACAUGCAAGUAGGACGCAGUUGCGAACGGGUGAGUAACGCGUAGGUAACUACCUAUUUGAGGGGGAUAACUAUUGGCAACGAUAGCUAAUACCGCAUACUAGUAGAUGGACCUGCGUUGUAUUAGGUAGUAGGUAGGGUAAUGGGCUACCUAGGCAACGAUACAUUGCCGACCUGGGGGGGGUGUCGGCCACACUGGGAAUGAGAAACGGCCCAGACGUCUACGGGAGGCAGCAGUAGGGAAUCGUUGGCAAUGGGGGGAAAGCUGACCGAGCAACGGCGCGGGAGUGAAGAAGGUUUUCGGAGCGGAAAGCUCUGUUGUUAAGGAAGCGGUACUUAACCAGAAAGGGACGGCUAACUACGUGCCAGCCGCCGCGGUAAUUC